This 486-nucleotide ribosomal RNA is filed under the name uncultured bacterium. RNAcentral describes it as "partial 16S ribosomal RNA". It matches the Rfam family "Bacterial small subunit ribosomal RNA", at positions 30 to 507 of the family's 1533-position model. The record is from RNAcentral.
AUUGAACGCUGGCGGCAUGCCUUACACAUGCAAGUCGAGCGAACACACGAGUACUUGCCCCUGCUGACGUGUGCGGCGGGCGGGUGUGUUACAUGGGGAUAUCUCCUGUAGUGGGCGAUAGUACGUUCAGAGCAGCAUUAAUACCACAUGCGAUUUACGGAAGCAGCAUGGGUCCAUUCGGACAUAGCGCUUUGGUGUUGCCCAUUGGCGGAUUAGCUAGUUGGUAGGGUAAAGGCUUACCAAGGCGACGAUCAGUAGCUGGUCUGAGAGGACGAUCAGCCACACUGGAACUGAGACACGGCCCAGACUCCUACGGGAGGCAGCAGUGGGGAAUCUUGGACAAUGGGCGAAAGCCUGAUCCAGCAAUGCCGCGUGUGUGAAGAAGGUCUUCGGGUUGUAAAACACUUUUGUCAGGGAAGAAAAACUGGGCACGAAUACAGGCGGGGGUUGACGGUACCGGAAGAAUAAGCACCGGCUAACUACGUG